AUUGAACGCUGGCGGCAUGCCUUACACAUGCAAGUCGAACGGUAACAGGUCUUCGGAUGCUGACGAGUGGCGAACGGGUGAGUAAUACAUCGGAACGUGCCUAGUAGUGGGGGAUAACUACUCGAAAGAGUGGCUAAUACCGCAUGAGAUCUACGGAUGAAAGCCGGGGAUCGCAAGACCUUGUGCUACGAGAGCGGCCGAUGGCAGAUUAGGUAGUUGGUGGGAUAAAAGCUUACCAAGCCGACGAUCUGUAGCUGGUCUGAGAGGACGAUCAGCCACACUGGGACUGAGGCACGGCCCAGACUCCUACGGGAGGCAGCAGUGGGGAAUUUUGGACAAUGGGCGAAAGCCUGAUCCAGCAAUGCCGCGUGCAGGAUGAAGGCCUUCGGGUUGUAAACUGCUUUUGUACGGAACGAAAAGCCCCGGGUUAAUACCCUGGGGUCAUGACGGUACCGUAAGAAUAAGCACCGGCUAACUACGUGCCAGCAGCCGCCGUAA
Molecule: ribosomal RNA, 498 nt
Filed under: uncultured bacterium
Lineage: Bacteria
Description: partial 16S ribosomal RNA
Rfam family: Bacterial small subunit ribosomal RNA
Source: RNAcentral